GCUCAGAUUGAACGCUGGCGGCAGGCCUAACACAUGCAAGUCGAGCGGUAGCACAGAGAGCUUGCUCUCGGGUGACGAGCGGCGGACGGGUGAGUAAUGUCUGGGAAACUGCCUGAUGGAGGGGGAUAACUACUGGAAACGGUAGCUAAUACCGCAUAAUGUCGCAAGACCAAAGUGGGGGACCUUCGGGCCUCAUGCCAUCAGAUGUGCCCAGAUGGGAUUAGCUAGUAGGUGGGGUAACGGCUCACCUAGGCGACGAUCCCUAGCUGGUCUGAGAGGAUGACCAGCCACACUGGAACUGAGACACGGUCCAGACUCCUACGGGAGGCAGCAGUGGGGAAUAUUGCACAAUGGGCGCAAGCCUGAUGCAGCCAUGCCGCGUGUGUGAAGAAGGCCUUCGGGUUGUAAAGCACUUUCAGCGGGGAGGAAGGCGUUAAGGUUAAUAACCUUGGCGAUUGACGUUACCCGCAGAAGAAGCACCGGCUAACUCCGUGCCAGCAGCCGCGGUAAUACGGAGGGUGCAAGCGUUAAUCGGAAUUACUGGGCGUAAAGCGCACGCAGGCGGUCUGUCAAGUCGGAUGUGAAAUCCCCGGGCUCAACCUGGGAACUGCAUUCGAAACUGGCAGGCUAGAGUCUUGUAGAGGGGGGUAGAAUUCCAGGUGUAGCGGUGAAAUGCGUAGAGAUCUGGAGGAAUACCGGUGGCGAAGGCGGCCCCCUGGACAAAGACUGACGCUCAGGUGCGAAAGCGUGGGGAGCAAACAGGAUUAGAUACCCUGGUAGUCCACGCCGUAAACGAUGUCGAUUUGGAGGUUGUGCCCUUGAGGCGUGGCUUCCGGAGCUAACGCGUUAAAUCGACCGCCUGGGGAGUACGGCCGCAAGGUUAAAACUCAAAUGAAUUGACGGGGGCCCGCACAAGCGGUGGAGCAUGUGGUAUAAUUCGAUGCAACGCGAAGAACCUUACCUGGUCUUGACAUCCACAGAACUUUCCAGAGAUGGAUUGGUGCCUUCGGGAACUGUGAGACAGGUGCUGCAUGGCUGUCGUCAGCUCGUGUUGUGAAAUGUUGGGUUAAGUCCCGCAACGAGCGCAACCCUUAUCCUUUGUUGCCAGCGGUUAGGCCGGGAACUCAAAGGAGACUGCCAGUGAUAAACUGGAGGAAGGUGGGGAUGACGUCAAGUCAUCAUGGCCCUUACGACCAGGGCUACACACGUGCUACAAUGGCAUAUACAAAGAGAAGCGACCUCGCGAGAGCAAGCGGACCUCAUAAAGUAUGUCGUAGUCCGGAUUGGAGUCUGCAACUCGACUCCAUGAAGUCGGAAUCGCUAGUAAUCGUAGAUCAGAAUGCUACGGUGAAUACGUUCCCGGGCCUUGUACACACCGCCCGUCACACCAUGGGAGUGGGUUGCAAAAGAAGUAGGUAGCUUAACCUUCGGGAGGGCGCUUACCACUUUGUGAUUCAUGACUGGGGUGAAGUCGUAACAAGGU
RNAcentral lists this ribosomal RNA (1483 nucleotides) under uncultured bacterium. RNAcentral's name for it is "bacterial SSU rRNA". It matches the Rfam family "Bacterial small subunit ribosomal RNA". The record is from RNAcentral.